UGACCACCAAUAUUUAUCCACAGAACAGUACAGCAUGACACAGGCAGUACGAGCUUCCCCCAAGCUACCACAUCCAUAUUUCACAAUUCUGUCAUGGAGGGAUUUGGGGAUGGGAUGGUUGGCCA
RNAcentral lists this small RNA (125 nucleotides) under Chelonoidis abingdonii (Abingdon island giant tortoise). RNAcentral describes it as "TUC338 (ENSCABG00000014783.1)". The record is from RNAcentral. Lineage: Eukaryota; Metazoa; Chordata; Testudines; Testudinidae.